CCGGUUUAUACCGGUUCUCGUUAGAUCACUGAAGUUAAGCAUCAUUGGGCGCGGUCAGUACUUGGGUGGGUGACCACCUGGGAACACUGCGUGCCGUU
RNAcentral lists this ribosomal RNA (98 nucleotides) under Caerostris darwini. Lineage: Eukaryota; Metazoa; Arthropoda; Arachnida; Araneae; Araneidae. The record is from RNAcentral.